RNAcentral lists this ribosomal RNA (253 nucleotides) under uncultured bacterium. RNAcentral describes it as "partial 16S ribosomal RNA". It matches the Rfam family "Bacterial small subunit ribosomal RNA", at positions 524 to 776 of the family's 1533-position model. The record is from RNAcentral.
UACGUAGGGUGCAAGCGUUAAUCGGAAUUACUGGGCGUAAAGCGUGCGCAGGCGGUCUUGCAAGACAGAUGUGAAAUCCCCGGGCUCAACCUGGGAACUGCAUUUGUGACUGCAAGGCUGGAGUGCGGCAGAGGGGGAUGGAAUUCCGCGUGUAGCAGUGAAAUGCGUAGAGAUGCGGAGGAACACCGAUGGCGAAGGCAGCCCCCUGGGCUAGCACUGACGCUCAGGCACGAAAGCGUGGGGAGCAAACAGG